GCUGUUGUGGCUCAGUUGGUAGAGCAGCUGAUUCGUAAUCAGCAGGUCGCCGGUUCAAAUCCGGCCAGCAGCUCCA
This 76-nucleotide transfer RNA is filed under the name Bacillota bacterium. RNAcentral's name for it is "tRNA-Thr". It matches the Rfam family "tRNA". From Rfam's summary of the family: Transfer RNA (tRNA) molecules are approximately 80 nucleotides in length. Their secondary structure includes four short double-helical elements and three loops (D, anti-codon, and T loops). Further hydrogen bonds mediate the characteristic L-shaped molecular structure. tRNAs have two regions of fundamental functional importance: the anti-codon, which is responsible for specific mRNA codon recognition, and the 3' end, to which the tRNAs corresponding amino acid is attached (by aminoacyl-tRNA synthetases). tRNAs cope with the degeneracy of the genetic code in two manners: having more than one tRNA (with a specific anti-codon) for a particular amino acid; and 'wobble' base-pairing, i.e. permitting non-standard base-pairing at the 3rd anti-codon position. The record is from RNAcentral. Lineage: Bacteria; Bacillati; Bacillota.